Molecule: ribosomal RNA, 1466 nt
Filed under: uncultured Salmonella sp.
Lineage: Bacteria; Pseudomonadati; Pseudomonadota; Gammaproteobacteria; Enterobacterales; Enterobacteriaceae
Description: bacterial SSU rRNA
Rfam family: Bacterial small subunit ribosomal RNA
Source: RNAcentral
AUUGAACGCUGGCGGCAGGCCUAACACAUGCAAGUCGAACGGUAACAGGAAGCAGCUUGCUGCUUUGCUGACGAGUGGCGGACGGGUGAGUAAUGUCUGGGAAACUGCCUGAUGGAGGGGGAUAACUACUGGAAACGGUGGCUAAUACCGCAUAACGUCGCAAGACCAAAGAGGGGGACCUUCGGGCCUCUUGCCAUCAGAUGUGCCCAGAUGGGAUUAGCUUGUUGGUGAGGUAACGGCUCACCAAGGCGACGAUCCCUAGCUGGUCUGAGAGGAUGACCAGCCACACUGGAACUGAGACACGGUCCAGACUCCUACGGGAGGCAGCAGUGGGGAAUAUUGCACAAUGGGCGCAAGCCUGAUGCAGCCAUGCCGCGUGUAUGAAGAAGGCCUUCGGGUUGUAAAGUACUUUCAGCGGGGAGGAAGGUGUUGUGGUUAAUAACCGCAGCAAUUGACGUUACCCGCAGAAGAAGCACCGGCUAACUCCGUGCCAGCAGCCGCGGUAAUACGGAGGGUGCAAGCGUUAAUCGGAAUUACUGGGCGUAAAGCGCACGCAGGCGGUCUGUCAAGUCGGAUGUGAAAUCCCCGGGCUCAACCUGGGAACUGCAUUCGAAACUGGCAGGCUUGAGUCUUGUAGAGGGGGGUAGAAUUCCAGGUGUAGCGGUGAAAUGCGUAGAGAUCUGGAGGAAUACCGGUGGCGAAGGCGGCCCCCUGGACAAAGACUGACGCUCAGGUGCGAAAGCGUGGGGAGCAAACAGGAUUAGAUACCCUGGUAGUCCACGCCGUAAACGAUGUCUACUUGGAGGUUGUGCCCUUGAGGCGUGGCUUCCGGAGCUAACGCGUUAAGUAGACCGCCUGGGGAGUACGGCCGCAAGGUUAAAACUCAAAUGAAUUGACGGGGGCCCGCACAAGCGGUGGAGCAUGUGGUUUAAUUCGAUGCAACGCGAAGAACCUUACCUGGUCUUGACAUCCACAGAAGUUUUCAGAGAUGAGAAUGUGCCUUCGGGAACCGUGAGACAGGUGCUGCAUGGCUGUCGUCAGCUCGUGUUGUGAAAUGUUGGGUUAAGUCCCGCAACGAGCGCAACCCUUAUCCUUUGUUGCCAGCGGUUAGGCCGGGAACUCAAAGGAGACUGCCAGUGAUAAACUGGAGGAAGGUGGGGAUGACGUCAAGUCAUCAUGGCCCUUACGACCAGGGCUACACACGUGCUACAAUGGCGCAUACAAAGAGAAGCGACCUCGCGAGAGCAAGCGGACCUCAUAAAGUGCGUCGUAGUCCGGAUUGGAGUCUGCAACUCGACUCCAUGAAGUCGGAAUCGCUAGUAAUCGUGGAUCAGAAUGCCACGGUGAAUACGUUCCCGGGCCUUGUACACACCGCCCGUCACACCAUGGGAGUGGGUUGCAAAAGAAGUAGGUAGCUUAACCUUCGGGAGGGCGCUUACCACUUUGUGAUUCAUGACUGGGGUGAA